AAACACAGGCCAUGGUGAGAGAGAGUUGUGUAGAGCUGAUAGGCUUAAUUGGCUUUGUUUCAACUCAUUUUGCAAAUGGCUUGUAUGUAACGGACGUUCAUUAAUGUAAAACAG
Etheostoma cragini (Arkansas darter) is the source of this 114-nucleotide long non-coding RNA. RefSeq lists it as uncharacterized. The record is from RefSeq and is a predicted model, not a curated record. NCBI's taxonomy places the organism in Eukaryota, Metazoa, Chordata, Actinopteri, Perciformes, Percidae. The transcript is spliced from 3 exons.